This 492-nucleotide ribosomal RNA is filed under the name uncultured bacterium. RNAcentral describes it as "partial 16S ribosomal RNA". It matches the Rfam family "Bacterial small subunit ribosomal RNA", at positions 29 to 507 of the family's 1533-position model. The record is from RNAcentral.
AGUGAACGCUGGCGGUAGGCCUAACACAUGCAAGUCGAACGGCAGCACAGUAAGAGCUUGCUCUUACGGGUGGCGAGUGGCGGACGGGUGAGGAAUACAUCGGAAUCUACUUUUUCGUGGGGGAUAACGUAGGGAAACUUACGCUAAUACCGCAUACGACCUACGGGUGAAAGCAGGGGAUCUUCGGACCUUGCGCGAUUGAAUGAGCCGAUGUCGGAUUAGCUAGUUGGCGGGGUAAAGGCCCACCAAGGCGACGAUCCGUAGCUGGUCUGAGAGGAUGAUCAGCCACACUGGAACUGAGACACGGUCCAGACUCCUACGGGAGGCAGCAGUGGGGAAUAUUGAACAAUGGGCGCAAGCCUGAUACAGCCAUACAGCGUGGGUGAAGAAGGCAUUCGGGUUGUAAAGCCCUUUUGUUGAGAAAGAAAAGCAGAAGGAUAAUACCCCGCUGUUAUGACGGUACGCAAAGAAGAAGCACCGGCUAACUUCGUG